CCUAAUACAUGCAAGUCGUACGCUAGCCCGCUGAAUUGAUCCUUCGGGUGAAGUGAGGCAAUGACUAGAGUGGCGAACUGGUGAGUAACACGUAAGAAACCUGCCCUUUAGUGGGGGAUAACAUUUGGAAACAGAUGCUAAUACCGCGUAACAACAAAUCACACAUGUGAUCUGUUUGAAAGGUCCUUUUGGAUCGCUAGAGGAUGGUCUUGCGGCGUAUUAGCUUGUUGGUAGGGUAGAAGCCUACCAAGGCAAUGAUGCGUAGCCGAGUUGAGAGACUGGCCGGCCACAUUGGGACUGAGACACUGCCCAAACUCCUACGGGAGGCUGCAGUAGGGAAUUUUCCGCAAUGCACGAAAGUGUGACGGAGCGACGCCGCGUGUGUGAUGAAGGCUUUCGGGUCGUAAAGCACUGUUGUAAGGGAAGAAUAACUGAAUUCAGAGAAAGUUUUCAGCUUGACGGUACCUUACCAGAAAGGGAUGGCUAAAUACGUGCCAGCAGCCGCGGUAAUACGUAUGUCCCGAGCGUUAUCCGGAUUUAUUGGGCGUAAAGCGAGCGCAGACGGUUUAUUAAGUCUGAUGUGAAAUCCCGAGGCCCAACCUCGGAACUGCAUUGGAAACUGA
Molecule: ribosomal RNA, 623 nt
Filed under: Oenococcus oeni
Lineage: Bacteria; Bacillati; Bacillota; Bacilli; Lactobacillales; Lactobacillaceae
Description: bacterial SSU rRNA
Rfam family: Bacterial small subunit ribosomal RNA
Source: RNAcentral